This is an RNA transcript of Pseudoliparis swirei, 472 nucleotides long. It is a transcript of the gene named short transmembrane mitochondrial protein 1, with no coding region annotated. The record is from RefSeq and is a predicted model, not a curated record. The transcript has 3 exons. NCBI's taxonomy places the organism in Eukaryota, Metazoa, Chordata, Actinopteri, Perciformes, Liparidae.
AAGUAGAUUGCUUGAUUUCCUCCCUCCAACCUUUAACUGCCUGACUUUGAGUCAGUAUAGUCGUCUGCUGUUGGCAACCCUUCGGUACUCCACCAUGCUUCAGUUCCUGGUUGGCUUCGCCUUGGGGAAUGUCGUGGGAAUGUACCUGGCUCAGAACUACGAGGCAAGUUUUGUAUCUACCAGAAUAUCAAUUCAACGUGUCGAAGUUAUCAGCUUUCUUCCUACAUUGACCCAUAUCUUGGACGCCCUCCGCCGGUCAGAUGUAGAGCGUGCAGAACUCCCGGACAGAUUCCCAACAUAGCCAAGAAAAUUGACGCCUUUAAGAAAGAUGUGGAGGCCAAGAAGAAGCCCCCAAGUUGAGCAGAGCGAGACCAUGUCGCAAGAACAGAUGCACUCUGUAAAGAAACUAUUUAUUGCACAGGGACAUGGGACAAUGAGUGUACAUUUGAUAAAAUUACUUUGUAAAACGUGA